GGCUUUGUAGUGUAAACUAACAUUUCGGAUUGCAAAUCCUUAAACGCAGUUAAUAGCUGCCAAAGCUU
RNAcentral lists this transfer RNA (68 nucleotides) under Phormosoma bursarium. Its description in RNAcentral is "tRNA-Cys". It matches the Rfam family "tRNA". From Rfam's summary of the family: Transfer RNA (tRNA) molecules are approximately 80 nucleotides in length. Their secondary structure includes four short double-helical elements and three loops (D, anti-codon, and T loops). The record is from RNAcentral. Lineage: Eukaryota; Metazoa; Echinodermata; Echinoidea; Echinothurioida; Phormosomatidae.